Long non-coding RNA from Helianthus annuus (common sunflower), 767 nucleotides. RefSeq lists it as uncharacterized. The transcript is spliced from 3 exons. NCBI's taxonomy places the organism in Eukaryota, Viridiplantae, Streptophyta, Magnoliopsida, Asterales, Asteraceae. The record is from RefSeq and is a predicted model, not a curated record.
AGAAAGGAGUCAUGUUCUUAACCUAGCAGCCGCCAUUCCAUUCCCACAUUGUCACCGGCUUCAUCGUCGUACAACCUUAACCGCCGUCACACUUUGCCGGUGAAAAAAAAAAAAACUUCAAGAUAGUCGCAACACCACCGUCUAGCGCGAAACAGAUACAUCCCACCGUGACCAACAUAGCCUCACAACUCUCAACUUUCUGCUUGGGCGUAUGGAUCGCCUCCGUUCUACACGAGUCCGGCCACCCUCGCUGCCCCUAUUAGUCACGAAUCAGAGCAGCCGCACCGUCAUGGCCACCGCAGCCUUAUCGCCUCCCAUCAUUCCCGAUCUACUCCGUGAUUGAAACCACCAUCAUUUAUGCCCGUUUGUUAGUCGUCGCAGCCCACCGGCAACGUGAUCGUUACCGGGCUUUCUCUCGUCGUUCCGAUCUACAAGGUUUGCGUAUUAUUUUUAAGGACAGUUCGAUUUGUGGGUUUUUGCUGCGCUUGCAAACAAAGGUAAUAUGGGAUGAUCUGGGAUUUCAGUGAUGAGCGUUAGGAAGUUGCUGGUCAAGAUUCUAUAUUUCAGUACUGUAAUAAAUGUAAUUAGGAUAUUUUAUUUAAUGUUAUGGAUUGGUUUUAGUUUUGAUAUCUGUAAGAGUGACACGUCAGCCCUAGCGGGGUUGGGGUGUUACAGUAGACCAUGUAUUUGUCACUGGAAUACAACAAUCAAGAGAUGUAAACCUAAACAAUGACGAUGAUGCUUAUGAUAGCUCUAGUUCUAUAUUA